Molecule: ribosomal RNA, 253 nt
Filed under: uncultured bacterium
Lineage: Bacteria
Description: partial 16S ribosomal RNA
Rfam family: Bacterial small subunit ribosomal RNA
Source: RNAcentral
UACGUAGGGGGCAAGCGUUGUCCGGAAUCAUUGGGCGUAAAGAGCGUGUAGGCGGCCCGAUAAGUCCGCUGUGAAAGUCCAGGGCUCAACCCUGGAAUGCCGGUGGAUACUGUCGGGCUUGAGUUCGGAAGAGGUGAGUGGAAUUCCUGGUGUAGCGGUGAAAUGCGCAGAUAUCAGGAGGAACACCAAUGGCGAAGGCAGCUCACUGGGACGAUACUGACGCUGAGACGCGAAAGCGUGGGGAGCAAACAGG